CGGAUGGGGCCACAGUGUCUCCGGACCCCUCCUGUCUCAGCCUGCAGUAAUUAUGCUGCAAUAGUUUGUGUCGGGGGCUAGGAGGACCUGAGCCCUAGGACCAUUCCUCAUGACUACCUGGCCUGAUGACUCCUUGCUGUCCACAGUCCAUCUGGUCGUGCUGCUGCUCCAGUUUCAACUGUUCUGUCUUCGGCUAUGGAACCCUGACCUGUUCACCAGACGUGCUACCAUGUCCUGGAACUGCUGUUUCAGCUCUGUCUCUCUACCGCACCUGCUGUCUCUAACUCUGAAUGAUCGGCUAUGAAAAGCCAACUGACAUUUACUCCUGAGGUGCCGACCUGUUACACCCUCUACAACCACUGUGAUUAUUAUUAUUUGACCCUGCUGGUCAUCUAUGAACGUUUGAACAUCUGGGCCAUGUACUGUUAUAAACUCCACCCGUCACAGCCAGAAGAGGACUGGCCACCCCUCAUAGCCUGGUUCCUCUCCAGGUUUCUUCCUAGGUUCCUGCCUUUCUAGGGAAUUUGUCCAAGUCACCGUGCUUCUACAUCUGC
This 554-nucleotide long non-coding RNA is filed under the name Salmo salar (Atlantic salmon). Its description in RNAcentral is "lncRNA (ENSSSAG00000085115.1)". Lineage: Eukaryota; Metazoa; Chordata; Actinopteri; Salmoniformes; Salmonidae. The record is from RNAcentral.